This 386-nucleotide ribosomal RNA is filed under the name Thalassiosira sp. Its description in RNAcentral is "partial small subunit ribosomal RNA". It matches the Rfam family "Eukaryotic small subunit ribosomal RNA", at positions 587 to 975 of the family's 1831-position model. Lineage: Eukaryota; Bacillariophyta; Thalassiosirophyceae; Thalassiosirales; Thalassiosiraceae. The record is from RNAcentral.
AGCUCCAAUAGCGUAUAUUAAAGUUGUUGCAGUUAAAAAGCUCGUAGUUGGAUUUCUGGCAGGAGGGACCGGUCACGCACUCUGUGUGUGAACUUGGCUCCCUCUGGCCAUCCUUGGGGAGAUCGUGUUUGGCAUUAAGUUGUCGGGCAUGGGAUACCCAUCGUUUACUGUGAAAAAAUUAGAGUGUUUAAAGCAGGCUUAUGCCGUUGAAUAUAUUAGCAUGGAAUAAUAAGAUAGGACUUUGGAACUAUUUUGUUGGUUUGCGUUACGAAGUAAUGAUUAAUAGGGACAGUUGGGGGUAUUCGUAUUUCGUUGUCAGAGGUGAAAUUCUUGGAUUUCCGAAAGACGAACUACUGCGAAAGCAUUUACCAAGGAUGUUUUCAUUA